This 695-nucleotide long non-coding RNA is filed under the name Homo sapiens (human). RNAcentral describes it as "HSALNT0376593". Lineage: Eukaryota; Metazoa; Chordata; Mammalia; Primates; Hominidae. The record is from RNAcentral.
GCCACCCCCUGCUCCACGGCGCCCAGUCCCAUCGACCACCCAAGGGCUGAGGAGUGCGGGCACACGGCACCGGGACUGGCAGGCACGUCCGCCUGCAGCCCCGUGCGGGAUCCACUGGGUGAAGCCUGCUGGGCUCCUGAGUCUGGUGGGGACGUGGAGAACCUUUAUGUUAACCUUUAUGUUAACAUGAACCUUUAUGACACUGACCUUGCCAACUGUGUGGGACCUGGUUGAGGCCUCUUGCCACCAGCUAUCUCCAACUUUCCUGGCCAACUAUAUAAUACAGUAGAGGCAACGAAAAUCCCCUCUAGAACAUAACCUCAUUGUCCUGAGAACCACCACCAUCCACCACAAUGGCUGCAGCAAGCCCCGCCCAAGAUAUUUUCUAAAGAUGGAAAGACACAUUCUGCCAUAUAGCUACUAUUUGCUUCCACAUCUGUUAUCUGCUCGUCUCCCCUCAACUCCGUAUCUCAAGAGACUGACCUGCUUGGAUUGCGUCAAGGGCUCUGGCUUAGGACAGACCUCAGCUAACUAUGGGACUUGGCAGGAGAUCCAGCAGCAGGAGGAAAGUGAGGUCAAUCUUGAGUGGAGAAUUCCAUCAACCAGACAAGCAAACUGCUAGAACCAUUACCAGCAUGGCCACUCUAUCCAGAAUCUAUGCUCAUGAUCCAAUAAAUGUAUUCUGAUUCAUCUUA